This 419-nucleotide ribosomal RNA is filed under the name uncultured Prevotella sp. RNAcentral describes it as "bacterial SSU rRNA". It matches the Rfam family "Bacterial small subunit ribosomal RNA", at positions 358 to 774 of the family's 1533-position model. Lineage: Bacteria; Pseudomonadati; Bacteroidota; Bacteroidia; Bacteroidales; Prevotellaceae. The record is from RNAcentral.
GGAAUAUUGGUCAAUGGGCGAGAGCCUGAACCAGCCAAGUAGCGUGCAGGAUGACGGCCCUAUGGGUUGUAAACUGCUUUUAUAUAGGGAUAAAGUGCGCCACGUGUGGCGUUUUGUAGGUACUGUAUGAAUAAGGACCGGCUAAUUCCGUGCCAGCAGCCGCGGUAAUACGGAAGGUCCGGGCGUUAUCCGGAUUUAUUGGGUUUAAAGGGAGCGCAGGCCGAUGGUUAAGCGUGACGUGAAAUGUAGCCGCUCAACGGCUGAUCUGCGUCGCGAACUGGCUGUCUUGAGUGAGUUCGAUGUGGGCGGAAUUCGUGGUGUAGCGGUGAAAUGCUUAGAUAUCACGAAGAACUCCGAUGGCGAAGGCAGCCCACAAGGCCUUUACUGACGCUAAAGCUCGAAGGUGCGGGUAUCGAACA